AUUGAACGCUGGCGGCAGGCCUAACACAUGCAAGUCGAACGGUAACAGGAAGAAGCUUGCUUCUUUGCUGACGAGUGGCGGACGGGUGAGUAAUGUCUGGGAAACUGCCUGAUGGAGGGGGAUAACUACUGGAAACGGUAGCUAAUACCGCAUAACGUCGCAAGACCAAAGAGGGGGACCUUCGGGCCUCUUGCCAUCGGAUGUGCCCAGAUGGGAUUAGCUAGUAGGUGGGGUAACGGCUCACCUAGGCGACGAUCCCUAGCUGGUCUGAGAGGAUGACCAGCCACACUGGAACUGAGACACGGUCCAGACUCCUACGGGAGGCAGCAGUGGGGAAUAUUGCACAAUGGGCGCAAGCCUGAUGCAGCCAUGCCGCGUGUAUGAAGAAGGCCUUCGGGUUGUAAAGUACUUUCUAGCGGGGAGGAAGGGAGGUAAAGUUAAGU
RNAcentral lists this ribosomal RNA (443 nucleotides) under uncultured bacterium. RNAcentral describes it as "bacterial SSU rRNA". It matches the Rfam family "Bacterial small subunit ribosomal RNA", at positions 30 to 465 of the family's 1533-position model. The record is from RNAcentral.